This 434-nucleotide ribosomal RNA is filed under the name uncultured Pseudobutyrivibrio sp. Its description in RNAcentral is "partial 16S ribosomal RNA". It matches the Rfam family "Bacterial small subunit ribosomal RNA", at positions 341 to 792 of the family's 1533-position model. Lineage: Bacteria; Bacillati; Bacillota; Clostridia; Lachnospirales; Lachnospiraceae. The record is from RNAcentral.
ACGGGAGGCAGCAGUGGGGAAUAUUGCACAAUGGGCGCAAGCCUGAUGCAGCGACGCCGCGUGAGCGAAGAAGUAUUUCGGUAUGUAAAGCUCUAUCAGCAGGGAAGAUAAUGACGGUACCUGACUAAGAAGCACCGGCUAAAUACGUGCCAGCAGCCGCGGUAAUACGUAUGGUGCAAGCGUUAUCCGGAUUUACUGGGUGUAAAGGGAGCGUAGGCGGUCUAGCAAGUCUGAUGUGAAAACCCGGGGCUCAACUUCGGGAUUGCAUUGGAAACUGUCAGACUAGAGUGUCGGAGGGGUAAGUGGAAUUCCUAGUGUAGCGGUGAAAUGCGUAGAUAUUAGGAGGAACACCAGUGGCGAAGGCGGCUUACUGGACUGUAACUGACGUUGAGGCUCGAAAGCGUGGGGAGCAAACAGGAUUAGAUACCCUGGUA